GUGUCAGCAGCCGCGGUAACACGUAGGGGGCGAGCGUUGUCCGGAUUUAUUGGGCGUAAAGAGCUCGUAGGCGGUUUCGUAAGUCGGGUGUGAAAACUCUAGGCUCAACCUAGAGACGCCACCCGAUACUGCGAUGACUAGAGUCCGGUAGGGGAGUGUGGAAUUCCUGGUGUAGCGGUGAAAUGCGCAGAUAUCAGGAGGAACACCAACGGCGAAGGCAGCACUCUGGGCCGGAACUGACGCUGAGGAGCGAAAGCGUGGGUAGCGAACAGGAUUAGAAACCCCCGUAGUCC
RNAcentral lists this ribosomal RNA (293 nucleotides) under uncultured bacterium. RNAcentral describes it as "partial 16S ribosomal RNA". It matches the Rfam family "Bacterial small subunit ribosomal RNA", at positions 505 to 796 of the family's 1533-position model. The record is from RNAcentral.